Carlito syrichta (Philippine tarsier) is the source of this 1038-nucleotide RNA transcript. It is a transcript of the gene named hsc70-interacting protein-like, with no coding region annotated. The record is from RefSeq and is a predicted model, not a curated record. The transcript has a single exon. Lineage: Eukaryota; Metazoa; Chordata; Mammalia; Primates; Tarsiidae.
AGGAAGUGGGUGGAGAGCACGGCAGGUAAAAUACCACCUGCUAUUCAGAAAGCUAAAUUAGAAGAAAAUAUCAAGAAAAAACAGAUAGUAAGAAGACAGAGGAAAAUAUAAAGAUAGAUGAACCAUCAAGUGAGGAAAGUGAUCUAGAAUUUGAUAAUGAAGGUGUGAUUGAACAAGAUACUGAUGUCCCUCAAGGAAUGGGAGAUGAAAAUGCAGAGUUAACAGAGGAGAUGAUGAGUGAGGCAAAUGAGAAAAAGUGGCUGCCAUUGAAGCUCUUAAUGAUGGUGAACUAGAGAAAGCCACUGACUUAUUCACACAUGCCAUCAAGUUGAAUCCUCGUUUGGCCAUUCUGUAUGCCAAAAAAGCCAGUGUCUUCAUCAAAUUGCAGAAGCCAAAUGCUGCCAUCAGAGACUGUGACAGAGCCAUUGAAAUAAAUUCUAAUUCAAUUCAGCCUUACAAGUGACGAGGGAAAGCACACAGACUUCUGGAUCAUUGGGAAGAAGCAGCCCAUGAUCUUGCCCUUGCCUGUAAAUUGGAUUGUGAUGAAGCCACUAGUGCAAUGUUGAAAGAAGUUCAGCCUAGGGCCCAGAAAAUUGCAGAACAUCAGAGAAUAUAUGAAUGAAAAUGUGAAGAGUGAGAGAUCAAAGAAAGGGUUUAGAAGGGUCCGGAAGAGCAAGAGAGGGCCCAGAGGGAGGAACAAGUCAGAUGACAGUCAGGAACUCAGUAUGCCUCUUUUCCAGGUGACUUUCCUGGGGGAAUACCUGGUAGUUUUCCUGGAGGAAUGUCUGGAAUGGGAGGAGGCAUGUCUGGAAUGGCAGAAAUGCCUGGACUCAGUGAAAUUCUUAGUGAUCCAGAGGUUCUUGCAGCCAUGCAGAAUCCAGAAGUUAUGGUGGCCUUCCGGGAUGUGGCCCAGAACCCAGCAAAUAUGUCAAAAUACCAAAGUAACCCAAAGGUUAUGAAUCUCAUUAGUAAACUGUCAGCCAAAUUUGGAGAUCAAGCAUAAUGCCCUUCUGAUAAAAAGCCCUUGCUGAAGGAAAA